GGAAGUAAAAAGUCGUAACAAGGUCUCCGUUGGUGAACCAGCGGAGGGAUCAUUACCGAGUUAUACAACUCCCAAACCCCAUGUGAACCAUACCGAAUGUUGCUUCGGCGGGCUCGGCGCUCCGGCCCGGCGCCCGCCGGAGGUAUCAAACUCUUUGUUUUUUUGGUGGCAUUAUCUGAGUAGCGCAAGCAAAUAAAAUCAAAACUCUGAACAACGGAUCUCUUGGUUCUGGCAUCGAUGAAGAACGCAGCGAAAUGCGAUAAGUAAUGUGAAUUGCAGAAUUCAGUGAAUCAUCGAAUCUUUGAACGCACAUUGCGCCCGCCAGUAUUCUGGCGGGCAUGCCUGUUCGAGCGUCAUUUCAACCCUCAAGCCCCAUUAGGCUUGGUGUUGGGGAUCGGCCGCGGCGGCUUCUCGUCGCCCGCGGCCGGCCCCGAAAUCUAGUGGCGGUCUCGCUGCAGCUUCCUCUGCGUAGUAGAAACACCUCGCUCUGGAGAACAGCGUGGCCACGCCGUAAAACCCCCAAGUUUUACUGAAGGUGACCUCGGAUCAGGUGGGAAUCCCCAAUUU
Molecule: ribosomal RNA, 567 nt
Filed under: Hypocreales sp. HF12275
Lineage: Eukaryota; Fungi; Ascomycota; Sordariomycetes; Hypocreales
Description: eukaryotic LSU rRNA
Rfam family: 5.8S ribosomal RNA (bases 203-356)
Source: RNAcentral